GGUCAAGCGAACAAGUGCAUGUGGUGGAUGCCUUGGCGAUCACAGGCGAUGAAGGACGCGGUAGCCUGCGAAAAGCCCCGGGGAGCUGGCAAACAAGCUUUGAUCCGGGGAUGUCCGAAUGGGGAAACCCACUCCGUAUGGAGUAUCCAUGACUGAAUACAUAGGUCAUGUGAAGCGAACGCGGUGAACUGAAACAUCUAAGUAACCGCAGGAAAAGAAAUCAACCGAGAUUCCCAAAGUAGUGGCGAGCGAAAUGGGAUGAGCCUUGUACUCUUUAUUCGUAUUGUUAGCCGAACGCUCUGGAAAGUGCGGCCAUAGCAGGUGAUAGCCCUGUAGGCGAAAACAGUAUGAAAGAACUAGGUGUACGACAAGUAGGGCGGGACACGUGAAAUCCUGUCUGAAGAUGGGGGGACCAUCCUCCAAGGCUAAAUACUCGUGAUCGACCGAUAGUGAACCAGUACCGUGAGGGAAAGGCGAAAAGAACCCCGGGAGGGGAGUGAAAUAGAUCCUGAAACCGCAUGCAUACAAACAGUCGGAGCCUCGUAAGGGGUGACGGCGUACCUUUUGUAUAAUGGGUCAGCGACUUACGUUCAGUAGCAAGCUUAACCGUAUAGGGCAGGCGUAGCGAAAGCGAGUCCGAAUAGGGCGUUCAGUUGCUGGGCGUAGACCCGAAACCAGGUGAUCUAUCCAUGGCCAGGAUGAAGGUGCGGUAACACGUACUGGAGGUCCGAACCCACUAACGUUGAAAAGUUAGGGGAUGAGCUGUGGAUAGGGGUGAAAGGCUAAACAAACCUGGAAAUAGCUGGUUCUCUCCGAAAACUAUUUAGGUAGUGCCUCGUGUCUCACCUUCGGGGGUAGAGCACUGUCAUGGUUGGGGGGUCUAUUGCAGAUUACCCCGCCAUAGCAAACUCCGAAUACCGAAGAGUGCAAUCACGGGAGACAGACAUCGGGUGCUAACGUCCGGUGUCAAGAGGGAAACAACCCAGACCGCCAGCUAAGGUCCCCAAAUAUGGCUAAGUGGGAAACGAAGUGGGAAGGCUAAAACAGUCAGGAGGUUGGCUUAGAAGCAGCCACCCUUUAAAGAAAGCGUAAUAGCUCACUGAUCGAGUCGUCCUGCGCGGAAGAUGUAACGGGGCUAAGCCAUAUACCGAAGCUGCGGAUGCGUGCUUGCACGCAUGGUAGGAGAGCGUUCCGUAAGCCUGCGAAGGUGCCUUGUAAAGGGUGCUGGAGGUAUCGGAAGUGCGAAUGCUGACAUGAGUAGCGAUAAAGGGGGUGAAAGGCCCCCUCGCCGUAAGCCCAAGGUUUCCUACGCAACGUUCAUCGGCGUAGGGUGAGUCGGCCCCUAAGGCGAGGCAGAAAUGCGUAGCUGAUGGGAAGCAGGUCAAUAUUCCUGCACCAUUGUUAGAUGCGAUGGGGGGACGGAUCGCGGAAGGUUGUCCGGGUGUUGGACGUCCCGGUCGCUGCAUUGGAGAAGGCGCUUAGGCAAAUCCGGGCGCGGAAUUCAAGGGUGUGGCGCGAGCUCCUUAGGGAGCGAAGCAAUUGGAAGUGGUUCCAAGAAAAGCCUCUAAGCUUCAGUCUAACGAUGACCGUACCGCAAACCGACACAGGUGGGCGAGAUGAGUAUUCUAAGGCGCUUGAGAGAACUCGGGAGAAGGAACUCGGCAAAUUGGUACCGUAACUUCGGGAUAAGGUACGCCCUUGUAGCUUGACUGGCCUGCGCCAGGAGGGUGAAGGGGUUGCAAUAAACUGGUGGCUGCGACUGUUUAAUAAAAACACAGCACUCUGCAAACACGAAAGUGGACGUAUAGGGUGUGACGCCUGCCCGGUGCCGGAAGAUUAAAUGAUGGGGUGCAAGCUCUUGAUUGAAGUCCCGGUAAACGGCGGCCGUAACUAUAACGGUCCUAAGGUAGCGAAAUUCCUUGUCGGGUAAGUUCCGACCUGCACGAAUGGCGUAACGAUGGCCACACUGUCUCCUCCCGAGACUCAGCGAAGUUGAAGUGUUUGUGAUGAUGCAAUCUACCCGCGGCUAGACGGAAAGACCCCAUGAACCUUUACUGUAGCUUUGCAUUGGACUUUGAACCGAUCUGUGUAGGAUAGGUGGGAGGCUAUGAAACCGGAACGCUAGUUUCGGUGGAGCCGUCCUUGAAAUACCACCCUGGUUUGUUUGAGGUUCUAACCUUGGUCCGUGAUCCGGAUCGGGGACAGUGCAUGGUAGGCAGUUUGACUGGGGCGGUCUCCUCCCAAAGGGUAACGGAGGAGUACGAAGGUACGCUAGGUACGGUCGGAAAUCGUGCUGAUAGUGCAAUGGCAUAAGCGUGCUUAACUGCGAGACCGACAAGUCGAGCAGGUGCGAAAGCAGGUCAUAGUGAUCCGGUGGUUCUGUAUGGAAGGGCCAUCGCUCAACGGAUAAAAGGUACUCUGGGGAUAACAGGCUGAUACCGCCCAAGAGUUCAUAUCGACGGCGGUGUUUGGCACCUCGAUGUCGGCUCAUCUCAUCCUGGGGCUGUAGCCGGUCCCAAGGGUAUGGCUGUUCGCCAUUUAAAGAGGUACGUGAGCUGGGUUUAAAACGUCGUGAGACAGUUUGGUCCCUAUCUGCCGUGGGCGUUGGAUAUUUGAAGGGGGCUGCUCCUAGUACGAGAGGACCGGAGUGGACGAACCUCUGGUGUACCGGUUGUGACGCCAGUCGCAUCGCCGGGUAGCUAUGUUCGGAAGAGAUAACCGCUGAAAGCAUCUAAGCGGGAAACUCGCCUUAAGAUGAGAUAUCCCUGGAGGCUUGACCUCCUUGAAGGGUCGUUCGAGACCAGGACGUUGAUAGGUCGGGUGUGUAAGCGCAGUAAUGCGUUCAGCUAACCGAUACUAAUUGCCCGUAAGGCUUGAUCCU
This 2881-nucleotide ribosomal RNA is filed under the name Burkholderia multivorans. RNAcentral's name for it is "23S ribosomal RNA". It matches the Rfam family "Bacterial large subunit ribosomal RNA". Lineage: Bacteria; Pseudomonadati; Pseudomonadota; Betaproteobacteria; Burkholderiales; Burkholderiaceae. The record is from RNAcentral.